RNAcentral lists this ribosomal RNA (253 nucleotides) under uncultured prokaryote. RNAcentral describes it as "partial 16S ribosomal RNA". It matches the Rfam family "Bacterial small subunit ribosomal RNA", at positions 525 to 777 of the family's 1533-position model. The record is from RNAcentral.
ACGUAGGUGGCAAGCGUUGUCCGGAUUUAUUGGGUUUAAAGGGUGCGUAGGCGGCGCUUUAAGUCAGUGCUGAAAUACUCUAGCUUAACUAGAGGGGUGGCAUUGAUACUGAAGUGCUUGAGUGGAGUCGAGGUAGGCGGAAUUGACGGUGUAGCGGUGAAAUGCUUAGAUAUCGUCAAGAACACCGAUAGUGUAGACAGCUUACUAGGCUUCAACUGACGCUGAGGCACGAAAGUGUGGGGAUCAAACAGGA